RNAcentral lists this transfer RNA (53 nucleotides) under Meloidogyne oryzae. RNAcentral's name for it is "tRNA-Ile". Lineage: Eukaryota; Metazoa; Nematoda; Chromadorea; Rhabditida; Meloidogynidae. The record is from RNAcentral.
UUUAGGUUAUUAUAAUUAAUAUAUUGAAUUGAUAUUUCAAAGAUCAACUAAUU